RNAcentral lists this ribosomal RNA (358 nucleotides) under uncultured bacterium. Its description in RNAcentral is "bacterial SSU rRNA". It matches the Rfam family "Bacterial small subunit ribosomal RNA", at positions 8 to 353 of the family's 1533-position model. The record is from RNAcentral.
AGAGUUUGAUCAUGGCUCAGGAUGAACGCUAGCUACAGGCUUAACACAUGCAAGUCGAGGGGCAGCAUGGUCUUAGCUUGCUAAGGCCGAUGGCGACCGGCGCACGGGUGAGUAACGCGUAUCCAACCUGCCCUUACACGUCUUAGGACAGCCUUCUGAAAAGGGAGAUUAAUACAAGAUGUUAUCAUGAGUAAGCAUUUUCGCAUGAUUAAAGGUUUACCGGUGUAAGAUGGGGAUGCGUUCCAUUAGAUAGUAGGCGGGGUAACGGCCCACCUAGUCUUCGAUGGAUAGGGGUUCUGAGAGGAAGGUCCCCCACAUUGGAACUGAGACACGGUCCAAACUCCUACGGGAGGCAGCA